This 497-nucleotide ribosomal RNA is filed under the name uncultured bacterium. RNAcentral describes it as "partial 16S ribosomal RNA". It matches the Rfam family "Bacterial small subunit ribosomal RNA", at positions 28 to 507 of the family's 1533-position model. The record is from RNAcentral.
GACGAACGCUGGCGGCGUGCCUAAUACAUGCAAGUAGAACGCUGAAGAGAGGAGCUUGCUCUUCUUGGAUGAGUUGCGAACGGGUGAGUAACGCGUAGGUAACCUGCCUUGUAGCGGGGGAUAACUAUUGGAAACGAUAGCUAAUACCGCAUAACAAUGGAUGAAACAUGUCAUUUAUUUGAAAGGGGCAAUUGCUCCACUACAAGAUGGACCUGCGUUGUAUUAGCUAGUAGGUGAGGUAAUGGCUCACCUAGGCGACGAUACAUAGCCGACCUGAGAGGGUGAUCGGCCACACUGGGACUGAGAAACGGCCCAGACUCCUACGGGAGGCAGCAGUAGGGAAUCUUCGGCAAUGGGGGCAACCCUGACCGAGCAACGCCGCGUGAGUGAAGAAGGUUUUCGGAUCGUAAAGCUCUGUUGUAAGUCAAGAACGGGUGUGAGAGUGGAAAGUUCACACUGUGACGGUAGCUUACCAGAAAGGGACGGCUAACUACGUG